UAGAUUUUUCUCAGCGGCAAAAAAUAAAAAAAAAUAAAAGAUUUUGUUAUAAUGCACAACUAAAUCUGAAAAGUAAUUGGAGAAGAUCUCAUUCUCUUAUGUCCUUGACAGUCAAGGACACGCUGUUUUUUCAGCAUAUCUCAUUCCGGUAUACCUUAGAGAAAGAAAUUUUCCUGCAGAAACUCUUUUUAAAUUACCUAUCGUUUAUUUCUACACAUAACUUCACACGUUACAAACUUAAUGGAGUUUCAUUUCCGUCUCAACAGAAACCAACGUCUCUUCGGGAUUUUAUGAGCGAAAGUAAAAUAAACAUCAGUUGUAUAAGUCGAAUGGCUAAAGAAAAAAAUAAGAAACCGAAGUGAAUAUUCAAAUUUUCAUACUGAAGAAAUAAUUCUUAAUUAUG
Molecule: long non-coding RNA, 403 nt
Filed under: Androctonus crassicauda
Lineage: Eukaryota; Metazoa; Arthropoda; Arachnida; Scorpiones; Buthidae
Source: RNAcentral